This 498-nucleotide ribosomal RNA is filed under the name uncultured bacterium. RNAcentral describes it as "partial 16S ribosomal RNA". It matches the Rfam family "Bacterial small subunit ribosomal RNA", at positions 30 to 523 of the family's 1533-position model. The record is from RNAcentral.
AUUGAACGCUGGCGGCAUGCCUUACACAUGCAAGUCGAACGGUAACAGGUCUUCGGAUGCUGACGAGUGGCGAACGGGUGAGUAAUACAUCGGAACGUGCCUAGUAGUGGGGGAUAACUACUCGAAAGAGUGGCUAAUACCGCAUGAGAUCUACGGAUGAAAGCAGGGGAUAGCAAGAACUUGUGCUAUUAGAGCGGCGGAUGGCAGAUUAGGUAGUUGGUGGGAUAAAAGCUUACCAAGCCGACGAGCUGUAGCUGGUCUGAGAGGACGAUCAGCCACACUGUGACUGAGACACGGCCCAGACUCCUACGGGAGGCAGCAGUGGGGAAUUUUGGACAAUGGGCGCAAGCCUGAUCCAGCAAUGCCGCGUGCAGGAUGAAGGCCUCCGGGUUGUAAACCGCUUUUGUACGGAACGAAAAGCCCUGGGUUAAUACCCUGGGGUCAUGACGGUACCGUAAGAAUAAGCACCGGCUAACUACGUGCCAGCAGCCGCCGUAA